Long non-coding RNA from Capsicum annuum, 463 nucleotides. RefSeq lists it as uncharacterized. The record is from RefSeq and is a predicted model, not a curated record. The transcript is spliced from 2 exons. NCBI's taxonomy places the organism in Eukaryota, Viridiplantae, Streptophyta, Magnoliopsida, Solanales, Solanaceae.
CAAAAUAGGACCUAAAUUGGCUUAAUUUUAUUAUCUUGAACUAACUCAAUUCAAUAACCCUCAACCCGGCCCAAAUCAUAAUUUAAAUCUCAGUCAUUUACACCUUCUGAUUAGACGGUGCCUAUCAAUUCCCUAACAUAUUUUCUCUUUAGUUAAUCCACUUCCCCAACCCCAGUCACAACUGUCCUCUCCCUCCUCCCACCGCCUCAACUAUCGUCACUGCCACCGACCAUAGCUGGCCCAACUAUGAAUUGAUUCGCCGAUGGAACCUCAUUAUAGCUGGAUAUAUCAACGAAAUAUUGAUAAUAGAAUGGGUGAGGCUGGGAAUGAAGAUGUGGAUGAUGAGUUGUAGUUUUUAGUCUUUUGUAUGUUUUAUAGUUUGGAUUUGGAACCUUGAUAAAUUUUGUAAAUAAUUUGAUUUUUAAUGUUUGUAUUCUUAUGGUGGUUGGUUGAUUGUAUAUUA